Long non-coding RNA from Helianthus annuus (common sunflower), 1525 nucleotides. RefSeq lists it as uncharacterized. The transcript is spliced from 6 exons. The record is from RefSeq and is a predicted model, not a curated record. Lineage: Eukaryota; Viridiplantae; Streptophyta; Magnoliopsida; Asterales; Asteraceae.
UUUAAAUUUGGUUCUUCAUCACCCACAAUUUUAUAGAGAGGUGAUAGAGAUAAAUUAGUGUUAUCUUCUACAAUGGUUAUGAGGUCGAUGAUGGUGCAAGAUCGGGAGGUGGUUGCGGAGAUCAGGGUAAGUGUCAGUGUCCGCUACAGAAAUCUGGAAAUAAUCACUUCUUCUAAGAAAGUUCAUCAAGAUCUAACGUUCCAACACAACAAUCUGCUCCUUAAUCGCAACUUCUGGUGGUGGCACUGGUCCAAUCACCGAUGGUGGAAUGGGUAGCUGGUCGGCCCUUAUGGUCUUAAGCAUCAGGAAGAGUUUUUGCAACAUGUGAUUCAGAUUCAGAAGGAAUACGGGCGAGUAGAGUAUGAACUUGGGGCGCCGACUAGAGCCCAUCCAAAAUGGGCCGCUAUGAUGGUUGUGGGUAUAGGAACAGGUGUCCUAAGGAUCAUGAGCAAGCAAGACGUUGCCCCUUAUCCCAUUGUAAGUCCAUCUUGCAUGUCUAUGUUUCUUUUUGUCAUUCACUUCAUCAUUGUGUAUGUUGUUUCAGCAACUUGACGAAAUAAUAAAUAGAUAGUUUAUGAUUAAAAAAAAGCAUUUGUCGAUGUCAUAAAUAGUUACACAUGUUUCUUUUCAAUCAAUUUGUGUUUCAUUUGUGUUUUAUUUAGGGUUUAUUUGGAUAUGUACUGCUUCUUUUGAUGUUGAAUUGCAGUAAUCUUCAUUUAACUGUCUCAUUAGUGCCCGAAGCUUUUGAACCCUACAUCGAAGUUGCAGGUCAUGAAUUUGAUCCUUUUCUAUUUUAUAUAUUAUAAACAUUGUUUGGUUUCAGAAUCUGCAACAGGUUUUGUUUCUCGCUUGAAUCGUUUUAAAUUUGAGCCAGGUGUGCUACUUUUAGAUUGAAUUGCUAAAUAACUUAAAGUGUACUGAAUUGAGAGGACUUGCUUUGGGAGAUGAAGGGGAUCAAGUAAUUUCACCCUAGAGGACCGAAACGCAUGAUGCUCAAAGAUGAUGACGAGGUGCUUGCAGUUUUAGCUACACGAGGCUGCGAGAAGACUACAUCUGGAAAUAAGCUUUAUCGUGAUUACCAUAUUAAAGUGAUCGCCAGAUGACAUGGAAGGGGCCGGAAAAUUGACUGUUUGGUCGAUUUACGUUGCAAUAUCCCUUCUUCUAGACCCUUUUAAGCGUAAAUGUUGAGAUGAAAGCAUGACUGUUGAGAUGAUGAUCUCUCAAAGUUUGUUAGCAUGUGUACAUGGAGAUAACAAGAGCAACUUAGGGCAUAUAUAAGAGGCGAGAGCGCACACAUUCUUCCAUUUGGCAAAACGAGGUUUGUGGUCUGAUGGAGUGUUGGUCUAGAAGUGUUCUGUCUUGGCACAGGACGAGGGAGGCGAGGCUACUAAAUAUUUCACUGACUUUCAAUUAUAGAUGUAGCUUGGUUUGUAAAGAGUACUUGAUCUUCACUUGGUCUCAAUGACAUGUAUAGUGUACAUAUUCAAAAGAAGCCUCGAAAUAUCAUUGAGUGUCAUUGGGUUUA